This 272-nucleotide ribosomal RNA is filed under the name Salmonella enterica subsp. enterica serovar Typhimurium. Its description in RNAcentral is "partial 16S ribosomal RNA". It matches the Rfam family "Bacterial small subunit ribosomal RNA", at positions 858 to 1129 of the family's 1533-position model. Lineage: Bacteria; Pseudomonadati; Pseudomonadota; Gammaproteobacteria; Enterobacterales; Enterobacteriaceae. The record is from RNAcentral.
CGUUAAGUAGACCGCCUGGGGAGUACGGCCGCAAGGUUAAAACUCAAAUGAAUUGACGGGGGCCCGCACAAGCGGUGGAGCAUGUGGUUUAAUUCGAUGCAACGCGAAGAACCUUACCUGGUCUUGACAUCCACAGAAGAAUCCAGAGAUGGAUUGGUGCCUUCGGGAACUGUGAGACAGGUGCUGCAUGGCUGUCGUCAGCUCGUGUUGUGAAAUGUUGGGUUAAGUCCCGCAACGAGCGCAACCCUUAUCCUUUGUUGCCAGCGAUUAGG